GGAAGAAAAACGGGGUGUGAGAAGCGCUUCGUCUUGACGUUACCCACAGAAGAAGCACCGGCUAACUCCGUGCCAGCAGCCGCGGUAAUACGGAGGGUGCGAGCGUUAAUCGGAAUUACUGGGCGUAAAGGGCGCGUAGGCGGUUGGGUAAGUCGAGUGUGAAAGCCCUGGGCUUAACCUGGGAAUGGCAUUCGAGACUACCUAAUUAGAGUCUGGUAGAGGGAAGUGGAAUUUCCGGUGUAGCGGUGAAAUGUGUAGAUAUCGGAAGGAACGCCAGUGGCGAAGGCGACUUCCUGGACCAAGACUGACGCUGAGGCGCGAAAGCGUGGGGAUCAAACAGGAUUAGAUACCCUGGUAGUCCACGCCCUAAACGAUGAGAACUGGCCGUUGGGGGAGUUAAAUCCUUGAGUGGCUCAGCUAACGCGAUAAGUUCUCCGCCUGGGGAGUACGGCCGCAAGGUUAAAACUCAAAGGAAUUGACGGGGGCCCGCACAAGCGGUGGAGCAUGUGGUUUAAUCCGAUGCAACGCGAAGAACCUUACCUGGUCUUGACAUCUGCGGAACCUGGGAGAGAUCUCAGGGUGCCUUCGGGAACCGCAAGACAGGUGCUGCAUGGCUGUCG
This 620-nucleotide ribosomal RNA is filed under the name uncultured bacterium. Its description in RNAcentral is "bacterial SSU rRNA". It matches the Rfam family "Bacterial small subunit ribosomal RNA", at positions 443 to 1054 of the family's 1533-position model. The record is from RNAcentral.